RNAcentral lists this ribosomal RNA (1456 nucleotides) under endosymbiont of Ripidomyxa sp. RP009. RNAcentral describes it as "partial 16S ribosomal RNA". It matches the Rfam family "Bacterial small subunit ribosomal RNA". The record is from RNAcentral.
AGUGAAUGCUUGUGAUCGACUUUACACAUGCAAGUUGUUGUAACUAAGUUUUAGUUAGAUAGCGUAUUGGCGAGUAAGAUAGAAGAAUCUUGAUAUUAUAGGAUAAAACAUUCUAUAAGAAAAUUUAAUUUUUAAAUUUUUAAAGUGAAGAGGCGUAAUAGAAAGAGCUUCUAUAGGAUUAGGUAGUUGGUAGUGGUAAUGGCCUACCAAGCCAUCGAUCCUUAGCGGGUGUGAGAGCACGCACCGUCGCAGUGGGCCUGCAAAAAAGCCCAAACUUGAAAGGCAGCAGUGGGGAAUCUUGGACAAUGAACUAACGUUUGAUCCAGUAAGAUCGCGUGGUCCAAUAAAGCGCGAUAUCUGGUGGACCGUUUAUAGAUGAAGAAAAUGACUGUAAUUUAUAAAAAAGACCCGGCAAACUUCGUGCCAGCAGCCGCGGUGAAACGGAGGGGUCUAGUGUUAUUCAACGUAACUGGGCGUAAAAGCAUGUAGUCGGAUAGCUAAGUUUGUUAAAAAAAAGACGUGGGGUUGAACCUAUGAGUUGAAUAUUGUUACUGGCUGUCUUUGAAUCUUGGAGGAGUUAUCGGCCCUUUGAAUGGAGAGGUAAAAUUCGUAGAUAUUCACGGUACGACCGGUGGUGGAAACUGAUAACUAUUUAAGAUUGACGAUGAGAUGCUAAAGUGUAGGGAUCAAAAAGGAUUCGAUACCCUUGUAGUCUACACCCUGACCGAUGAGUGUUGGAUUUAAAUUUUUAAGAAAAUUUUUGUCUAAUGUUAACGCAAAAACACUCCGCCUAGGAACUACAAUCGCAAGAUUAAAACUUAAAGGAAUUGACGGAGAGUUUUUUUCAGUGGUGGAGCAUGUGGUUUAAUGUGAUUCAACGCGCCAAAUCUUACCAAUCCUAGUUAUUAAUAUAUAUUGAAUGUAGUUUUUCAAUAAAAAUUAAUUGCGUAUAUACAUAUAAUUGCAUUAAUUUUUAAUUUAUUAAUAUCAGUUGAUGCAUGGCCGUCGUCAGUCCGUGCUUUGAAGUGUUUGGUUAGAUCUCUUAACGGACGUAACCCUUGUUGCUUUUUGAUAUGGCAAGAAGUGAUGCGUAAUGCAUCAGGAAGAAAGGAUGACGUCAGGUCCGUACACCGCUUAUGGGUUGGGCUACACAUGUGCUACAAUGGCUGUUACAAUAGAAGCUAGAACGUAAGUUUACGCAAAACCUAAAAAGCAGCCUUAGUUCGAAUUGCUUUCUGAAACUUGAAAGCAUGAAGUAGGAAUCACUAGUAAUCGCUUAUCACUAUGAAGCGGUGAAUAUUCUAUUGCUCUCGUACACACAGCCCGUCAGGCGGCGAAAGUACGUUGGGGAGGACAUUAGUGAUGACCUUGAAUUUUUGAGUUAAUUAUUUUGUUUCGACAAAUAAUUAACAGUUUUGAGGUUCAGCUAGUAAUUUCUUGAUUUAUGAUUGCUGUU